Molecule: ribosomal RNA, 253 nt
Filed under: uncultured bacterium
Lineage: Bacteria
Description: partial 16S ribosomal RNA
Rfam family: Bacterial small subunit ribosomal RNA
Source: RNAcentral
UACGUAGGGUGCGAGCGUUAAUCGGAAUUACUGGGCGUAAAGCGUGCGCAGGCGGCUUUGCAAGCCAGACGUGAAAGCCCCGGGCUUAACCUGGGAAUGGCGUUUGGGACUGCAAGGCUGGAGUGCGGCAGAGGGAACUGGAAUUCCUGGUGUAGCAGUGAAAUGCGUAGAUAUCAGGAGGAACACCGAUGGCGAAGGCAGGUUCCUGGGCCAGCACUGACGCUCAUGCACGAAAGCGUGGGGAGCAAACAGG